This 29-nucleotide small RNA is filed under the name Bombyx mori (domestic silkworm). RNAcentral's name for it is "ovarian small RNA-605". The record is from RNAcentral. Lineage: Eukaryota; Metazoa; Arthropoda; Insecta; Lepidoptera; Bombycidae.
UCGCAGUGGGGUUUAGUCUCUAAAGAGAC